This is a small nucleolar RNA of Nematolebias whitei (Rio pearlfish), 77 nucleotides long. RefSeq annotates it as small nucleolar RNA SNORD61. Lineage: Eukaryota; Metazoa; Chordata; Actinopteri; Cyprinodontiformes; Rivulidae. The record is from RefSeq and is a predicted model, not a curated record. The transcript has a single exon.
GCUGUGAUGAAUUGUUUGUUUUUGAUCAGAAAUGAGUUGAAAUUACACAAGUAAUUCCUCUAAGAAGUUCUGAGCUC